UACGUAGGGAGCAAGCGUUGUCCGGAUUUAUUGGGCGUAAAGAGCGUGUAGGCGGCCAGACAGGUCAGCUGUGAAAACUCGAGGCUCAACCUCGAGACGUCGGUUGAAACCGUCUGGCUAGAGUCCGGAAGAGGAGAGUGGAAUUCCCGGUGUAGCGGUGAAAUGCGCAGAUAUCGGGAGGAACACCAGUGGCGAAGGCGGUUACCUGGAGCUUUGCUGACGCUGAUGCGCGAAAGCGUGGGGAGCGAUCCGG
RNAcentral lists this ribosomal RNA (253 nucleotides) under uncultured bacterium. RNAcentral describes it as "partial 16S ribosomal RNA". It matches the Rfam family "Bacterial small subunit ribosomal RNA", at positions 524 to 776 of the family's 1533-position model. The record is from RNAcentral.